RNAcentral lists this ribosomal RNA (373 nucleotides) under uncultured bacterium. RNAcentral describes it as "bacterial SSU rRNA". It matches the Rfam family "Bacterial small subunit ribosomal RNA", at positions 28 to 431 of the family's 1533-position model. The record is from RNAcentral.
GGUGAACGCUGGCGGCGUGCCUAAGACAUGCAAGUCGAGUGGGUUUAGACCCACGGCGAACGGGUGAGUAAUACCUAGGAACUUUUCUUUAAGUGGAGGAUAACCAGCCGAAAGGUUGGAUAAUACUUCAUGUGGCAGUAAUGCUAAAGUCGCAAGACGCUUAAAGUGAGGCCUGGGCACCAUCAGCUAGUUGGUAAGGUAAUGGCUUACCAAGGCUAUGACGGUUAGGGGUCCCAGAGGGAUAACCCCCACACUGGAACUGCGACACGGUCCAGACUCCUACGGGAGGCAGCAGUUUGGAAUUUUUGGACGAUGGGCGAAAGCCUGAUCCAGCGACGCCGCGUGGACGAUGAAGGCCUUCGGGUCGUAAAGC